Molecule: ribosomal RNA, 494 nt
Filed under: uncultured bacterium
Lineage: Bacteria
Description: partial 16S ribosomal RNA
Rfam family: Bacterial small subunit ribosomal RNA
Source: RNAcentral
GACGAACGCUGGCGGCGCGCUUAACACAUGCAAGUCGAACGGAAAGGCCUGCUUUCCCUUGUGGAUUGCGGGUACUCGAGUGGCGAACGAGUGAGUAACACGUGAGUGAUCUGCCCCCAACUUGGGUAUAAGCCUGGGAAACUGGGUCUAAUUCCCGAUAGGACUGCAGGGUGGUGCCUGUGGUGGAAAACGAUUUUCUAGUGGUUGGGGAUGAGCUCGCGGCCUAUCAGCUUGUUGGUGGGGUAAUGGCCUACCAAGGCGGCGACGGGUAGCCGGCCUGAGAGGGUGGACGGCCACAUUGGGACUGAGAUACGGCCCAGACUCCUACGGGAGGCAGCAGUGGGGAAUAUUGCACAAUGGGCGGAAGCCUGAUGCAGCGACGCCGCGUGGGGGAUGACGGCCUUCGGGUUGUAAACUCCUUUCGACCGCGAGGAAGCCACCUGGUUGGAAGGGUGGUGACGGUAGUGGUAGAAGAAGCACCGGCUAACUACGUG